GGACUUGCNAAUGGGGGAACCCUGAUGCAGCGACGCCGCGUGAGCGAUGAAGCCCCUCGGGGUGUAAAGCUCUUUCGGCAGGGAAGAUGAUGACGGUACCUGCAGAAGCAGCUGCGGCUAACUACGUGCCAGCAGCCGCGGUAAUACGUAGGCAGCAAGCGUUGUUCGGAGUUACUGGGCGUAAAGGGUGUGUAGGCGGUCUUUUAAGUUUGGUGUGAAAUCUCCCGGCUCAACUGGGAGGGUGCGCCGAAUACUGAAAGACUAGAGUGCGGGAGAGGAUAGUGGAAUUCCUGGUGUAGCGGUGAAAUGCGUAGAUAUCAGGAGGAACACCGGUGGUGUAGACGGCUAUCUGGACCGUAACUGACGCUGAGACACGAAAGCGUGGGUAGCAAACAGGAUUAGAUACCCUGGUAGUCCACGCCCUAAACGAUGCAUAUUUGGUGUGGGCAGUUCAGUCUGUCCGUGCCGGAGCUAACGCGUUAAAUAUGCCGCCUGGGGAGUACAGUCGCAAGGCUGAAACUCAAAAGAAUUGACGGA
Molecule: ribosomal RNA, 537 nt
Filed under: uncultured bacterium
Lineage: Bacteria
Description: bacterial SSU rRNA
Rfam family: Bacterial small subunit ribosomal RNA
Source: RNAcentral